GACAACCAGCCUUGCUCACGAAGCGUCAGCCGUAUCCUUUCUGUGUGCAGUGGGGUGUGGGUUGUGUGGAGCCGCGGUGUCUGUGGAAUUCACAGGCUGGGGCCGGAAUCCAUGGCCCCCGUCGCCGCUGCCACCCCCCAGGUGCUGGGGUGACCUGAUCCAGGGUUGGGGUCUAAGCUGCUGGGGGGUUGGAGUCUUGGGCUCUGGCCCACGUCCGCCUCUGAUUGGUUCUACCACCUGAGCCGGUCACUGACCCUCCAUGGGCCUCAGCUUACCCUAUGGUAAAGUGAGAACUAGGGGGUCAGACUCCUUGAUCACCAAGAUCUCUGACCACAGCCAAGGCUAAGGGAAGCGCAGGAAAACGUGGGGCUCGUCCAAAUUCCCAGCCUCUCUCUGCCCCCUGGUGGACGCCGGCAGCCUAGCACCCGGGGGGAGAUGACCCCGACACUGUGUGACCUCUGCCAAGGCACCCAUCCCUCUGAGCCCCAGUUCCCACCGGUUACAUAGGAAUGAUUAUAAUACCCACCUCUUUGGGCAAUUGUGAGGAGGCAAGGAGAUAAUACAUGCAAAGUGCUUGGAUGGGAUGGGUACUAGCCACUCAACAGAAGGCAGAUCCUAGAAUGGGGAUGGCAAGUCCUGUCAUCAGUGAAGAAUGUAAUGACUGCAAGCUUAGAUGACAUGUCUGUUACUGGAAACCAGAGUUGUUUACUUAAGCUGUAAAUGAACUCAUAGUCCCUGGGAUAAUUAUCUCACCUCUGGAUAAAUAAACUCAACAGCCUUAUGUAUUUUAUUAAUUUUUCUUAAAAAAAAGCUUAAAAUAUUUUUCCUUUGAUUUGUUCUCUUUCUUUGGUUUCUGACUUUAUUAUGUCCUUUCUUUCUGCUUAGGCAUUUGUUUUAUUGCUCUUUUUUCACCAACUCAAACUGAAUGGUCACCUUAACAGUUUUAUUGAGCCAACCUUUAUAAGCUGCAGGAAAUGGAUUUCCUACUCUCCACCUUCUGAUUGGGCUUGACCAACGGGGAGCACUGGCAGAAGACAAGCAUGGGAGGAAAAAGAGAUCAGGGCUGGAGUGCAGUGGCGUGAUCUCGGCUAGCUACAACCUCC
RNAcentral lists this long non-coding RNA (1103 nucleotides) under Homo sapiens (human). Its description in RNAcentral is "HSALNT0291590". The record is from RNAcentral. Lineage: Eukaryota; Metazoa; Chordata; Mammalia; Primates; Hominidae.